Molecule: ribosomal RNA, 253 nt
Filed under: uncultured bacterium
Lineage: Bacteria
Description: partial 16S ribosomal RNA
Rfam family: Bacterial small subunit ribosomal RNA
Source: RNAcentral
UACGUAGGGGGCAAGCGUUGUCCGGAUUUACUGGGCGUAAAGCGCACGCAGGCGGUCGAUUAAGUUUGGAGUGACAGUUGGUGGCUUAACUGCCAAAGUGCUUCGAAAACUGAUCGACUUGAGGGCUUCAGAGGGACACGGAAUUCCGGGUGGAGUGGUGAAAUGCGUAGAGAUCCGGAGGAACACCGAAGGCGAAGGCAGUGUCCUGGGGAGUACCUGACGCUCAGGUGCGAAAGCCAGGGGAGCGAACGGG